Molecule: ribosomal RNA, 392 nt
Filed under: uncultured bacterium
Lineage: Bacteria
Description: bacterial SSU rRNA
Rfam family: Bacterial small subunit ribosomal RNA
Source: RNAcentral
UCGUGGGGGGAUAACUGCGCGAAAGCGUUGCUAAUACCGCAUACGACCUGGAGGGUAGAAAGCGGACGGGGACCGACGAACGGUCCUUGCGUCGAGUGGAGGCCGGCCGAUGGCCGGUAUUAGCUAGUUGGNGAAGGUAAGCUACCAAGGCGACGAUCCGUAGCUGGUCUGAGAGGACGACCCAGCCACACUGGGACUGAGACACGGCCCAGACUCCUACGGGAGGCAGCAGUGGGGAAUAUUGGACAAUGGGCGCAAGCCUGAUCCAGCAAUGCCGCGUGUGGGAAGAAGGCCUUCGGGUUGUAAACCACUUUUGGCGGGAAAGAAAUGGUCUGUGCUAAUACCACGGAUUGAUGACGGUACCCGCAGAAUAAGCACCGGCUAACUACGUG